GGCGGACGGGUGAGUAAUGCUUAGGAAUCUGCCUAUUAGUGGGGGACAACAUUCCGAAAGGAAUGCUAAUACCGCAUACGUCCUACGGGAGAAAGCAGGGGAUCUUCGGACCUUGCGCUAAUAGAUGAGCCUAAGUCGGAUUAGCUAGUUGGUGGGGUAAAGGCCUACCAAGGCGACGAUCUGUAGCGGGUCUGAGAGGAUGAUCCGCCACACUGGGACUGAGACACGGCCCAGACUCCUACGGGAGGCAGCAGUGGGGAAUAUUGGACAAUGGGGGGAACCCUGAUCCAGCCAUGCCGCGUGUGUGAAGAAGGCCUUAUGGUUGUAAAGCACUUUAAGCGAGGAGGAGGC
RNAcentral lists this ribosomal RNA (351 nucleotides) under Acinetobacter junii. RNAcentral describes it as "bacterial SSU rRNA". It matches the Rfam family "Bacterial small subunit ribosomal RNA", at positions 97 to 451 of the family's 1533-position model. Lineage: Bacteria; Pseudomonadati; Pseudomonadota; Gammaproteobacteria; Moraxellales; Moraxellaceae. The record is from RNAcentral.